RNAcentral lists this unclassified non-coding RNA (338 nucleotides) under soil metagenome. RNAcentral's name for it is "partial contains 5.8S ribosomal RNA, internal transcribed spacer 2, and large subunit ribosomal RNA". The stretch from base 5 to 119 matches the Rfam family "5.8S ribosomal RNA", at positions 40 to 154 of the family's 154-position model. The record is from RNAcentral.
GAUGAGAACGCAGUGAAAUGCGAUAAGUAGUGUGAAUUGCAGAAUUCAGUGAAUCAUCGAAUCUUUGAACGCACAUUGCGCCCCUCGGUAUUCCGUGGGGCAUGCCUGUUCGAGCGUCAUUUAACCCCUCAAGCCUAGCUUGGUAUUGGGUGCUUGUCCCGCCUCUCGCGCGGCGACUCACCUCAAAGUCAUUGGCAGCCCGCAUCUCGCCGGCCGUGAGCGCAGCACAGACGCGCUCUUGGCAACGACGGAUCGGCUCUCCAAAAGCUUAUUUCAACCACUGACCUCGGAUCAGGUAGGGAUACCCGCUGAACUUAAGCAUAUCAAUAAGCGGAGGA